UUAAUGGAUCUUUAGAAUUAACAUCUACGAUUGAUUUGCUCUGCUGGGAAGGGAGGUUAUAGAAUUAAUAUCUACGAUUGAUUGCUCUGCUGGGAAGGGAGGUUCUGAUCCACUGCAAUUUAUGCUACAGGUUAGAGCUCUUUGUGAGAAGGCAAAGGAGAUUCUGAUGGAGGAAAGCAAUGUUCAGCCUGUAAAGAGUCAUGUUACUAUAUGCGGUGAUAUUCAUGGACAAUUUCAUGAUCUUGCUGAACUCUUCCGAAUUGGUGGAAAGUGUCCAGAUAUGAACUACUUGUUUAUGGGAGAUUAUGUUGACCGUGGUUACUACUCUGUCAAAACUG
Molecule: long non-coding RNA, 338 nt
Organism: Zea mays
Lineage: Eukaryota; Viridiplantae; Streptophyta; Magnoliopsida; Poales; Poaceae
Exons: 3
Source: RefSeq, a predicted model, not a curated record